UGUAAUUGAGCAUUGACAUAUUACAUCAUGGUGUUAUGCCCUAAACAGGCCCUAUCUGUUUUAUAGUAUUUAUUUCACCAAAUACCACUGGAUAUUCAUAGAUUCCUCCUUUAGAGUCAAGCCGUCUGAAUAAAUGAGCAGGAUGCUGAGUCCCACAGGAACAAUUGAACCGGAUGUGAAUAUAGGGAAGAACUCAGGAAAGUUGUACAUGGAGUUGACAGUCAGCCACGUCACAUGGAGCAGGCACAUCUCUCAGCGUAUUUGAGAAUGAAGGUUGGUUCAAUCCUCAGAACUCACCGAUAAUGAAUAGCCAACUUCACUUAUAUUUUAGCAUACAUGUCAAGAAGACUCUCCCUUGAGACUCUCACCCAGAUUCUGACUCGGGACACAUCUUUCGAAAUGUGGAGCUUAAAAAGUACGGUGUGCCAUGUCAUAGCUGGCUUGGGAAGAAGCUUGGUUACCACUAGGGACGAUUAGCAAACAACAGCCACCCUCUUCUCCAUGACCUCAGCCCUGUCAUCCUCAUCCUCUGCCAUUGCUUCUGUGGAGCUGAGUUCUAUUCGCUCUGCUUGAAUGGUA
This is a long non-coding RNA of Peromyscus maniculatus bairdii (prairie deer mouse), 579 nucleotides long. RefSeq lists it as uncharacterized. The record is from RefSeq and is a predicted model, not a curated record. NCBI's taxonomy places the organism in Eukaryota, Metazoa, Chordata, Mammalia, Rodentia, Cricetidae.